GCUCCUGUCAUCUGGGGAGUAGCCAGCCGUUCCGCCAUGAAGGAACGGGCCGUUCGUCAACAUAUUUGGCCGAGAGGCCAUGGCGGACGGGAUGGAGAGCCUGACGGGCUUUCUUCAUCGGGCGAGACCAAU
Molecule: small RNA, 132 nt
Filed under: Sphingobium quisquiliarum
Lineage: Bacteria; Pseudomonadati; Pseudomonadota; Alphaproteobacteria; Sphingomonadales; Sphingobiaceae
Description: Manganese sequence
Rfam family: Manganese Mn2+ riboswitch aptamer (yybP-ykoY)
About the family: This RNA was originally discovered in E. coli during a large scale screen and was named SraF. The family was later found to exist upstream of related families of protein genes in many bacteria, including the the yybP and ykoK genes in B. subtilis.
Source: RNAcentral